UCCUUGAAUGAUUCUUAAUCAUUGAUCAACCACAUGAUCAGUCAGAAACUUCUUUUGAGUGUGACCUCAUAGGUUCGAACCUAAGUCGAUAGCAUAGAAAUAUCUUUCUAAAUCAAUUGAUUUAACCAUCUAGUAAUGAUGAUCCGAUGUCCGGAUAGAUCGAAUGAAGGUGAAGCAACAUUCAAAAAUCUAUUGACGUUUAGUUACCGUAUAAUUCAUCCCUUUGACCCUAAUACUCAAGGAUGACCUAGGAUUUAACUGUCAAUCCAAGAUAAGUCAUCUAUAUUAUAUUUUAAUCUUUUUCAAAUCCAUCAUAUGGAUAUCUAGACUCAGAUUUUGCUAAAUUGAAAUACAUUGAUGCAUAUCUCCUAC
RNAcentral lists this long non-coding RNA (372 nucleotides) under Elaeis guineensis (African oil palm). RNAcentral describes it as "long non-coding RNA (EGUI_LNC060891)". The record is from RNAcentral. Lineage: Eukaryota; Viridiplantae; Streptophyta; Magnoliopsida; Arecales; Arecaceae.